CAGGUUAAAACUCUAGGGAACUCAUAGGAAACCUUGCACCCACUUUUCUUUCUUUUCUUUCUUUUUCUCUUGGAAGGAUAUGGACUUCCUUCUCAUGCACAGGACUUCCUCACGCCCCAGAAUUUUUCUUCAAAAAUCUUCUUUUUCACACCCCACUCUUCUCCUCCUUUUAUAACAACGUCAAACGUCUUAUCCAAAUGAAAGGAUAAGGAUGAGUAAUUGC
RNAcentral lists this long non-coding RNA (223 nucleotides) under Elaeis guineensis (African oil palm). Its description in RNAcentral is "long non-coding RNA (EGUI_LNC046502)". Lineage: Eukaryota; Viridiplantae; Streptophyta; Magnoliopsida; Arecales; Arecaceae. The record is from RNAcentral.